AUAAGUAUACUGGGGCUAGAGGUGAAAUUCUUGGACCCUCAGUAGACUACCUAUUGCGAAAGCAUUUGCCAAGAAUGUUUUCACUAAUCAAGAACGAAAGUCAGAGGUUCGAAGACGAUCAGAUACCGUCCUAGUUCUGACCAUAAAUGAUAUCAACUAAUUAUUGGCAAAGGCGCUUGUUCGCCCGAGCCAGCAGCCUCCGGGAAACCAAAGUUUUUGGAUCCCGGGGGUAGUAUGGUUGCAAGACUGAAACUUAAAGGAAUUGACGGAAGGGCACCACCAGGAGUGGAGCCUGCGGCUUAAUUUGACUCAACACGGGGAACCUCACCCGGCCCGGACACUCGAAGGAUUGACAGAUUAAUUGCUCUUUCUUAAUUUAGUGGUUGGUGGUGCAUGGCCGUUCUUAGUUGGUGGAGUGAUUUGUCUGGUUGAUUCCGAUAACGAGCGAGACUCACGCCUACUAAAUAGCAGGCUAAUGUCGGUCUCUUGAGACACACCAAUUAGGCAUGUUGCUUCUUAGAGGGAUUUAUGUCUUCCAGACAUAUGAACAGUGAGCAAUAACAGGUCUGUGAUGCCCUUAGAUGUCCGGGGCCGCACGCGCGCUACACUGAAAGCUUCAACGAGUUGUCCUGGCCUGCAAAGGCUGGGUAAUCUGAUUGAAUAGUUUUCGUGACAGGAAUCGGGGCUUGCAAUUAUCCCCGUGAACGAGGAAUUCCCAGUAAGCAUGAGUCAUCAGCUUGUGCUGAUUACGUCCCUGCCCUUUGUACACACCGCCCGUCGCUACUACCGAUUGAAUGGUUUAGUGAGGUCCUUGGAUUGACGCUGACGAGGUGGUUCUGCCACUUUGUUGGUGUUGAAAAGAAGAUCAAACUUGAUCAUUUAGAGGAAGUAAAAGUCGUAACAAGGUUUCCGUAGGUGAACCUGCAGAAGGAUCA
This 935-nucleotide ribosomal RNA is filed under the name uncultured eukaryote. Its description in RNAcentral is "bacterial SSU rRNA". It matches the Rfam family "Eukaryotic small subunit ribosomal RNA", at positions 890 to 1828 of the family's 1831-position model. The record is from RNAcentral.